AAACCUGAGAAACCCAAAAGAUCGAAUGGGGAGAUUCAUCGUCAGCGAGCCUGGUGCGUGUGCGGCUCGCGAUGCCGGGGACUUCGGUUCUUUGGCACGCGUCUGCAUUGUUUUAUUGCCGGGUCUCGUCGGCGUGCACUUCUCCCCUAGUAGGACGUCGCGACCCGUUGGGUGUCGGCCUACGACUCGGGUGGGAGCCUGUCAUGCGCCACGCUUUACGGCGUCGUGUGGCAGACCCCCGGUUGUCUGGCCGGCUGCUCGGCGGUACUCGCACGGUAUCGGGCCGCAAAUAUUCGAACUGCGUCCGGCCCGCCGCAAGCGAGGUCAGUGUUUUCCCGGAUGUACGGACCUAGCGCCGUCACCGGGCCUGGCCAGCUGUUGGUCGGCGGUGUCCUGGGACUGGCUCUUAGAUACCGGUCGGCGACGCUACUGCUUUGGGUACUUUCAGGACCCGUCUUGAAACACGGACCAAGGAGUCUAACAUGUGCGCGAGUCAUUGGGAGCUAUAUAAGCCUAAAGGCGUAAUGAAAGUGAAGGUCGGCCCAGUGCCGACCGAGGGAGGAUGGGCCGCGUCACGAUGCGGUCCCGCACUCCCGGGGCGUCUCGUUCUCAA
RNAcentral lists this ribosomal RNA (613 nucleotides) under Netelia testacea. RNAcentral's name for it is "eukaryotic LSU rRNA". The record is from RNAcentral. Lineage: Eukaryota; Metazoa; Arthropoda; Insecta; Hymenoptera; Ichneumonidae.